GAUGAAGAACGCAGCGAAAUGCGAUAAGUAAUGUGAAUUGCAGAAUUCAGUGAAUCAUCGAAUCUUUGAACGCACAUUGCGCCCCUUGGUAUUCCGAGAGGCAUGCCUGUUCGAGCGUCAUUAUAACCCCUCAAGCUCAGCUUGGUGUUGGGGCCUGCUGCACUGGCAGCCCUUAAAAUCAGUGGCGGCGCCAUCUGGCUCUAAGCGUAGUAAUUCUUCUCGCUAUGGAGUCCUGGUGGAUGCUUGCCAUCAACCCCCAAUUUUUCUAUGGUUGACCUCGGAUCAGGUAGGGAUACCCGCUGAACUUAAGCAUAUCAAUAAGCGGAGGA
This 329-nucleotide unclassified non-coding RNA is filed under the name soil metagenome. RNAcentral describes it as "partial contains 5.8S ribosomal RNA, internal transcribed spacer 2, and large subunit ribosomal RNA". The stretch from base 1 to 120 matches the Rfam family "5.8S ribosomal RNA", at positions 35 to 154 of the family's 154-position model. The record is from RNAcentral.